UUCCUUCAUAUGUCAUUAUGCUUGUGAAAAUUAGAUAAAAUUAUAUAAGACAAAAAUUAUAAAAUGAAAACUCAUUAUAAAAUCAUUUUUUUGUAAGAAAUUGCUUAAAAGCCAGUGUUUCUGAUUUUUUUUAAUUAGGGUUACAAUAGAGAUGACAGAGAAAUGGUUGGAAUGAGAAAGAUGAAAGAGAAAGGAUUGAGAGGAAUGAGAGAGGUGAGUAAGGGUUUCGGGUGUUUCUUUUUUUUUUAGUUUUGAGAAUGAAAAUUAUUUAAAUAUCCUUGACCUUAAAACUUAGAAUCCAUGAUAUAUGAGGGUAUUUUUGUCUACUAUAAUCCGGUACACAUUGUUAAAACGUACCAACUGAAAAACAGGCGUACGCGUGUUAACAAAC
This 391-nucleotide long non-coding RNA is filed under the name Vigna radiata. RNAcentral describes it as "long non-coding RNA (VRAD_LNC010999)". The record is from RNAcentral. Lineage: Eukaryota; Viridiplantae; Streptophyta; Magnoliopsida; Fabales; Fabaceae.